Molecule: ribosomal RNA, 440 nt
Filed under: uncultured bacterium
Lineage: Bacteria
Description: bacterial SSU rRNA
Rfam family: Bacterial small subunit ribosomal RNA
Source: RNAcentral
GAUCCUGGCUCAGGAUGAACGCUGGCGGCGUGCCUAAUACAUGCAAGUCGAACGAGGUGCUUUUGUAGCAAUACGAAAGUAUCCUAGUGGCGAACGGGUGAGUAACGCGUUGGUGACCUACCCCAAAGUGUGGGAUAACAGUUCGAAAGAACUGCUAAUACCGCAUGUGGUUAUCGGAUUUAGAAACUGAUAACUAAAGGAGCAAUUCGCUUUGGGAGGGACCUGCGUCCCAUCAGCUAGUUGGUGAGGUAAUGGCUCACCAAGGCUACGACGGGUAGGGGACCUGAGAGGGUGACCCCCCACAAUGGAACUGAAACACGGUCCAUACACCUACGGGUGGCAGCAGUAGGGAAUAUUGCACAAUGGGCGAAAGCCUGAUGCAGCAACGCCGCGUGUGCGAUGAAGGCCCUCGGGUCGUAAAGCACUUUUCUGAGAGAUGA